Molecule: small nuclear RNA, 163 nt
Filed under: Carlito syrichta (Philippine tarsier)
Lineage: Eukaryota; Metazoa; Chordata; Mammalia; Primates; Tarsiidae
Description: U1 spliceosomal RNA (ENSTSYG00000036139.1)
Rfam family: U1 spliceosomal RNA
About the family: U1 is a small nuclear RNA (snRNA) component of the spliceosome (involved in pre-mRNA splicing). Its 5' end forms complementary base pairs with the 5' splice junction, thus defining the 5' donor site of an intron. There are significant differences in sequence and secondary structure between metazoan and yeast U1 snRNAs, the latter being much longer (568 nucleotides as compared to 164 nucleotides in human).
Source: Rfam by way of RNAcentral
AUACUACCUGGCAGGGGAGAUACCACGAUCAUGAAGGUGGUUUUCUCAAGGCAAGGCUUAUCCAUUGCACUCCAGAUGUGCUGACCCCUGCAAUUUCCCCAAAUGUGGGAAACACUAUUGCAAUAUUUGUGGUAGUGGGGUACUGUGUUUGCACUCUCCCUGG